UACGUAGGGGGCGAGCGUUGUCCGGAAUUACUGGGCGUAAAGGGUGCGUAGGCGGCCAUUUAAGUCUUGUGUGAAAGGCCCCGGCUUAACCGGGGAGCUGCAUGGGAAACUGGAUGGCUUGAGUGCUGGAGAGGGUUGCGGAAUUCCCAGUGUAGCGGUGAAAUGCGUAGAUAUUGGGAGGAACACCAGUGGCGAAGGCGGCAACCUGGACAGUAACUGACGCUGAGGCACGACAGCUGGGGGAGCAAAC
RNAcentral lists this ribosomal RNA (250 nucleotides) under uncultured bacterium. RNAcentral describes it as "partial 16S ribosomal RNA". It matches the Rfam family "Bacterial small subunit ribosomal RNA", at positions 524 to 773 of the family's 1533-position model. The record is from RNAcentral.